GAGUUUGAUCAUGGCUCAGGACGAACGCUGGCGGCGUGCUUAACACAUGCAAGUCGGACGGUCUGUAUAUUGAAAGCUUGCUGGAUAUGUACGGAUAGUGGCGGACGGGUGAGUAACGCGUGAAUACCUGGCCAUCGGAGGGGGACAACGGCUGGAAACGGUCGCUAAUACCGCGUAAGCCGUAAGGUGAAAGGCCACGGGAGUGGCUGCCGAUGGAUGGGUUCGCGUCCUAUCAGCUGGUUGGUGGGGUAAGGGCCUACCAAGGCUAAGACGGGUAGCCGGUCUGAGAGGGUGAUCGGCCACACUGGAACUGAGAUACGGUCCAGACUCCUACGGGAGGCAGCAGUGGGGAAUAUUGGGCAAUGGGGGCAACCCUGACGCAGCAACGCCGCGUGAGUGAAGAAGGCCCUUGGGUCGUAAAACUCUGUCAAUGGGGAAGAAGUUAUUGCAUAUUAAUAGUAUGUAGUAUUGACGGUACCCAUGAAGGAAGCACCGGCUAACUCCGUGCCAGCAGCCGCGGUAAA
Molecule: ribosomal RNA, 524 nt
Filed under: uncultured bacterium
Lineage: Bacteria
Description: bacterial SSU rRNA
Rfam family: Bacterial small subunit ribosomal RNA
Source: RNAcentral